UACGAAGGGGGCUAGCGUUAAUCGGAAUUACUGGGCGUAAAGCGCACGUAGGUGGUUUGUUAAGCUAGCUGUGAAAUCCCCGGGCUCAACCUGGGCACUGCAGUUAGAACUGGCAAGCUAGAGUAGGGUAGAGGGGUGUGGAAUUCCAGGUGUAGCGGUGAAAUGCGUAGAUAUCUGGAGGAACAUCAGUGGCGAAGGCGACACCCUGGACUCAUACUGACACUGAGGUGCGAAAGCGUGGGGAGCAAACAGG
Molecule: ribosomal RNA, 253 nt
Filed under: uncultured bacterium
Lineage: Bacteria
Description: partial 16S ribosomal RNA
Rfam family: Bacterial small subunit ribosomal RNA
Source: RNAcentral